This 545-nucleotide ribosomal RNA is filed under the name uncultured bacterium. RNAcentral describes it as "bacterial SSU rRNA". It matches the Rfam family "Bacterial small subunit ribosomal RNA", at positions 28 to 584 of the family's 1533-position model. The record is from RNAcentral.
AGUGAACGCUGGCGGCGUGCUUAACACAUGCAAGUCGAACGAGAACGGGUAUUAGCUUGCUAAUACUGUCAGCUAAGUGGCGCACGGGUGAGUAAUAUAUAGUUAAUCUGCCCUAGAGAAGGGGAUAACGUUUGGAAACGGACGCUAAAACCCUAUAUGCCUUUAAAACAGAAGUUUGCAAGGGAAAUAUUUAUAGCUCUAGGAUGAGACUGUACGGUAUCAGUUAGUUGGUGAGGUAAUGGCUCACCAAGACAAUGACACCUAACUGGUUUGAGAGGAUGAUCAGUCACACUGGAACUGAGACACGGUCCAGACUCCUACGGGANGCAGCAGUGGGGAAUAUUGCACAAUGGAGGAAACUCUGAUGCAGCAACGCCGCGUGGAGGAUGACACUUUUCGGAGCGUAAACUCCUUUUAUAUAGGAAGAUAAUGACGGUACUAUAUGAAUAAGCACCGGCUAACUCCGUGCCAGCAGCCGCGGUAAUACGGAGGGUGCAAGCGUUACUCGGAAUCGCUGGGCGUAAAGAGCGUGUAGGCGGAUAGAU